Molecule: ribosomal RNA, 724 nt
Filed under: uncultured fungus
Lineage: Eukaryota; Fungi
Description: SSU rRNA
Rfam family: Eukaryotic small subunit ribosomal RNA
Source: RNAcentral
GAUAGAGGCCUACCAUGGUGGUAACGGGUAACGGGGUGUUAGGGCACGACACCGGAGAGGGAGCCUGAGAAACGGCUACCACAUCCAAGGAUGGCAGCAGGCGCGCAAAUUACCCAAUCCCGACACGGGGAGGUAGUGACAAUAAAUAACAAUACGGGGUUCUUUCGGAUCUCGUAAUUGGAAUGAGUACAAUUUAAAUCUCUUAACGAGGAACAAUUGGAGGGCAAGUCUGGUGCCAGCAGCCGCGGUAAUUCCAGCUCCAAUAGCGUAUAUUAAAGUUGUUGCAGUUAAAAAGCUCGUAGUUGAAUUUCGGGGUUAGUAGGUUGGUCAUGCCUCCGGUAUGUACUGGUCUCACUGAUUCCUCCUUCCUUAUGAACCGUAAUGCCAUUAAUUUGGUGUUGCGGGGAAUUUGGACUGUUACUUUGAAAAAAUUAGAGUGUUUAAAGCAAGCUAACGCUUGAAUCCAUUAGCAUGGAAUAAUGAAAUAGGACGUUCGAUCUUAUUUUGUUGGUUUCUAGGAUUGACGUAAUGAUUAAUAGGGAUAGUUGGGGGCAUUAGUAUUCAAUUGUCAGAGGUGAAAUUCUUGGAUUUAUUGAAGACUAACUACUGCGAAAGCAUUUGCCAAGGAUGUUUUCAUUAAUCAAGAACGAAAGUUAGGGGAUCGAAGACGAUCAGAUACCGUCGUAGUCUUAACCAUAAACUAUGCCGACUAGGGAUCGGAUGA